CUCGUAAUGCCAACGGUGGAUGCCUUGGCAGUUUGAGCCGAAGAAGGACGUAGUAGGCAGCGAUAUUCGACGGGGAGGAGUCUACAUCCUUAUGAUCCGUCGGUUUCCGAAUGGAGUAAUCCUUCCAUCAGUAAUGAUGGGAAUCCCGAGUUUUUAACGAGGGAGGGGAACCUGGGGAAUUGAAACAUCUUAGUACCCAGAGGAAAAGAGACAAAUAUGUAUUCCGUCAGUAGCGGCGAGCGAAAGCGGAGGAGCCCAAACCCUGAUUUAUUGGGGUGUUGUAGGACCCACAUAAUAAGCAUAGUAGAUAGUAGUAGAACAGCUCGGAAUAGCUGGCCAUAGAGAGUGAAAGCCUCGUAUAUGAAACUUGAAACUAGCUUUAGUGGGAUUCCUGAGUACCGCGGGACACGUGAAAUCCUGUGGGAAUCCGGCCCGGCCACGGGCCAAGGCUAAAUACUCAAACUGACCGAUAGUGAACAAGUACCGUGAGGGAAAGGUUAAAAGUACCCCUGUGAGGGGAGUGAAAUAGUACCUGAAACCGUUGGCUAACAAACUGAUAAGGGUCCGGUGUUAAAACCGGACUGAUAUUGUGCCUUUUGCAUAAUGAGCCGGUGAGUUUACUCUAGUUCCAAGUCUAAGCUAUUUUUGUAGUGGAGGCGCAGGGAAACCAAGUCUUAAAUAGGGCGAAAUAUCCUUCGAUUAUACUCAGGAUAACCCUGAGCGGAGUCGAAUGGGUUAGGAGCUGGAGUAAGACCCGAAGCUAGGUGAGCUAUCCAUGAGCAGGGUGAAGUUCUCCGAAAGGAGAAUGGAGGCCCGAACCAGUAGAUGCUGCAAAAUCUUUGGAUGACUUGUGGAUAGGGGUAAUAUGCUAAUCGUACCUAGCGAUAGCUGGUUCUUCUCGAAAUAUAUUUAGGUAUAGGCUGUUAGUUUAAGCAUUGGGGGUAGAGCACUGACUGGGGAUAGGGUGAGUAAUCGUCUUGUUUCCAACCAAACUCCGAAUACCAUUGUGUAUACUAAUGGACUCAGACAUGUUGGGCUAAGCUAAUGUGUCGAAAGGGAAACAGCCCAGACUCUCGGCUAAGGUCCCUAAAUCAAAGCUAAGUGGAUAAGAAAGUAAGUGUGUUAAGACACCCAGGAGGUUGGCUUAGAAGCAGCCAUCCUUUAAAAAUAGCGUAAUAGCUUACUGGAAUAACGCACUUGCGUCGAAAAUGAUCGGGGCUAAGCUUUGUACCGAAGCCAGAGAUUUAUUAAUCUUUUGAUUGAUGAGUGGUAGAGGAGCGUUCCAGGGGCGGUGAAGUUGAACUGAAAAGUUUAGUGGAGCGCCUGGAAGUGAGAAUGCCGGCAUAAGUAGCGAGAAUUGGGUGAGAAUCCUGAUCGCCGAAUACCCAAGGUUUCCGAGGCAACGUUCGUCGUCCUCGGGUUAGCCGGAUCUAAGUGUGCGCCGUUUUAGGCGUACUCGAUGUACAACAGGUUGAUAUUCCUGUGCUAUUUUUAGAUUGUAUUCAGCUAAGGUGUGACGGGGUGGGAUAACUGGAGUCCAGCGUUAGUUGGAUUUAAGCAGUAAGGUAGUUUCUGUUGGAAAAUCCGCAGAAAUGAUGUCACGUUUACGUGAUGUAGUCGAGCUGUGAAUAAGAUUCUUAAGAUUCGUCAAGAGAAAAUUCUGGUAAUUUCUACUUCCAAGAAAAGCAUCGUAGCUGGGUCUAAAAGUAUCCGUACCGCAAACCGACACAGGUGGGUGGGUGGAGAACACUCAGGCGAGCGGAAGAAAGAGGUUCAAGGAACUCGGCAAAAUAACUGGGCGUAACUUCGGGAGAUGCCCUGCCAAUGCCCUAGAGGUAUUGGCCGCAGUUAAAGAAGCUGAGCGGCUGUUUAACAAAAACACAGGUCUCUGCAAAGCCGAAAGGCGAAGUAUAGGGGCUGACGCCUGCCCAGUGCUGGUAAGUUAACCAUCUGUGGUUAUCACUUCGGUGAGAAGCUGUGGAUGUAAGCUCCAGUAAACGGCAGCAGUAACUAUAACUGUUCUACGGUAGCGAAAUUCCUUGUCACUUAAUUGGUGACCCGCACGAAAGGCAGAACGACUCAGCGACUGUCUUGAACCUUUGCCCGGCGAAAUUGAAAUGGCUGUGAAGAUGCGGCCUACUUGCACAAGGACGAAAAGACCCCAGAAGCUUUACUGUAACUUAACAUUGGCAAAAUUGUGAGAAUUGUCGAGAAUAGGAGGGAGUCUUCGGACAUUAGUGGAAUACCUCUCUUUCUUAUUAUUGAGCCUAACUCUAUAUUAUUAGGGAACAUUGUUUGGUGGGCAGUUUGGUUGGGGUGACCGCCACCUAAAGAGUAACGGUGGCGUACAAAGGUCGGCUUAGCGCGGAUGGAAAUCGCGUGUUAUGUGUAAAGGCAUAAGCCGGCUUAACUGUGAGACGGACAAGUCGAGCAGAUGCGAAAGCAGGUCUUAGUGAUCCUCGAUUCCACUGUGGUUGUGGAACGAGCUUAACGGAUAAAAGCUACUCUGGGGAUAACAGGUUGGUCUCCUCCAAGAGUUCAUAUCGACGAGGAGGUUCGACACCUCGAUGUCGGCUCAGCGUAUCCUGGGGGUGAAGAAGCCCCCAAGGGUUGGUCUGUUCGCCCAUUAAAACGCUACGCGAGCUGGGUUCAAACCGUCAAUUUGGCGGCUUUACGCCGAAAGGCGAAUUGCAAAAGUUGGCUCAUAUCGGUGAAAUCCUUGCACGAUUAACCUGUCGUGUGUUAGGAUAAUACCGAGGGAAGCUGAUUGGUUUUUUCGUUAUGCAAGCAACACAUAAAGCUUACAUUUCAGGAUUUCUUGAUGCGGAUGGAAGCAUCUACGUUAGGCUAAAGCCAAACGAUAGUUAUAAAUACGGCUUCCAGAUAGCACCAAGUAUUGUUUUCUUUCAAAGUAAAAAAAACGAGAGCGUCCUGAAAUAUAUAAUCAAUUUAGCCCAAGUUGGAUAUAUACAUAAUAGAAAAGAUGGAAUAGUUGAGCUAACAAUCUCUGACACAAAAGGAUUGUUAACAAUUAUUUCGCUUACCAAACCGUAUAUAGUACUAAAACAAAAGCAAAUUGAGCUAUUAGAGGUAAUUCUUAGAACUAAGCAAAAUAUUAGCUCCAGUAAAGACUUUUUACAAUUGGCUAAGCUAAUUGAUAAAUUUGAAACUUUGAAUUACUCUCAAAAUAGAAAAAUAACAAGCAAGAACGUUGCUGCAUAUAUAAAGCGAAACAAGCUAAUUUAGCCCCGUAGAGACUUUGUUCAAUCUAAGAUUGAACAAGAUAGAUAUCUUUCUGUAGAAUCUAUAAUACGCCGACUCCCUAGUCAUAUACUAGGGUAGUAGUAUAGUCCAUUCUCGUUGGUAACAACGAAUAAGAAUGCGUAAGACAGGUUGGUCUCUAUCCGGUGCAAGCGCAUUGAUACUUGAAGGGAUUUGACUCUAGUACGAGAGGACCGAGUUGAAUGAAUCCCUGGUGUACCAGUUGUUGGGGAUCUCUCCGGCAUCGCUGGGUAGCUAUAUUCAUUUAGGAUAAGCGCUGAAAGCAUAUUAAGCGCGAAGCCCUCCCUAAGAUAAGGUAUCUUUAAGACUCCUGUAAGAUUAACAGGUUGAUAGGCUCUAGGUGUAAGUUCCGUGAGGGAUUCAGCCGAGGAGUACUAAUAGUC
RNAcentral lists this ribosomal RNA (3665 nucleotides) under Candidatus Roizmanbacteria bacterium CG_4_9_14_0_2_um_filter_38_17. Its description in RNAcentral is "bacterial LSU rRNA". It matches the Rfam family "Bacterial large subunit ribosomal RNA". The record is from RNAcentral. Lineage: Bacteria; Candidatus Roizmaniibacteriota. RNAcentral also lists the same sequence under 2 other names.